GGAUGAACGCUAGCGGCAGGCUUAAUACAUGCAAGUCGAGGGGCAGCAGGUCUGUAGCAAUACAGAUGCUGGCGACCGGCAAACGGGUGCGGAACACGUACAGAACCUUCCUUCGAGCGGGGAAUAGCCCAGAGAAAUUUGGAUUAAUACCCCAUAGUAUAUUGAAGAGGCAUCUCUUUAAUAUUAAAGAUUUAUCACUUGAAGAUGGCUGUGCGGCUGAUUAGGUAGUUGGCGGGGUAACGCCCACCAAGCCUACGAUCAGUAACUGGUGUGAGAGCACGACCAGGUCACACGGGCACUGAGACACGGGCCCGACUCCUACGGGAGGCAGCAGUAAGGAAUAUUGGUCAAUGGACGCAAGUCUGAACCAGCCAUGCCGCGUGGA
RNAcentral lists this ribosomal RNA (385 nucleotides) under uncultured bacterium. RNAcentral's name for it is "bacterial SSU rRNA". It matches the Rfam family "Bacterial small subunit ribosomal RNA", at positions 27 to 405 of the family's 1533-position model. The record is from RNAcentral.